AACGCGAAGAACCUUACCAGCCCUUGACAUCCACGUCGCGGAUUCCAGAGAAGUUGUCCUUCACUUCGGCUGGACCGAACACAGGUGCUGCAUGGCUGUCGUCAGCUCGUGUCGUGAGAUGUUGGGUUAAGUCCCGCAAGGAGCGCAACCCUCGCCCUUAGUUGCCAGCAUUCAGUUGGGCACUCUAAGGGGACUGCCGGGGAUAAGCCGAGAGGAAGGUGGGGAUGACGUCAAGUCCUCAUGGCCCUUACGGGGUGGGCUACACACGUGCUACAAUGGUGGUGACAGUGGGCAGCGAGCCAGCGAGGUGGAGCUAAUCUCCAAAACCCAUCUCAGUUCGGAUUGCAUUCUGCAACUCGAGUCCAUGAAGUGGGAAUCGCUAGUAAUCGCGAUCAGCAUGC
RNAcentral lists this ribosomal RNA (401 nucleotides) under uncultured bacterium. RNAcentral's name for it is "bacterial SSU rRNA". It matches the Rfam family "Bacterial small subunit ribosomal RNA", at positions 958 to 1357 of the family's 1533-position model. The record is from RNAcentral.